GGGGGUGUAGCUCAGCUGGGAGAGCACCUGCCUUGCAAGCAGGGGGUCAGGAGUUCGAUUCUCCUCAUCUCCA
Molecule: transfer RNA, 73 nt
Organism: Butyricicoccus pullicaecorum 1.2
Lineage: Bacteria; Bacillati; Bacillota; Clostridia; Eubacteriales; Butyricicoccaceae
Rfam family: tRNA
About the family: Transfer RNA (tRNA) molecules are approximately 80 nucleotides in length. Their secondary structure includes four short double-helical elements and three loops (D, anti-codon, and T loops).
Source: Rfam